RNAcentral lists this ribosomal RNA (524 nucleotides) under uncultured bacterium. RNAcentral's name for it is "bacterial SSU rRNA". It matches the Rfam family "Bacterial small subunit ribosomal RNA", at positions 775 to 1296 of the family's 1533-position model. The record is from RNAcentral.
AGUCAAUAGAUACCCAGGUAGUCCACGCCGUAAACGAUGUCGACUUGGAGGUUGUGCCCUUGAGGCGUGGCUUCCGGAGCUAAACGCGUUAAGUCGACCGCCUGGGGAGUACGGCCGCAAGGUUAAAACUCAAAUGAAUUGACGGGGGCCCGCACAAGCGGUGGAGCAUGUGGUUUAAUUCGAUGCAACGCGAAGAACCUUACCUACUCUUGACAUCCAGAGAACUUAGCAGAGAUGCUUUGGUGCCUUCGGGAACUCUGAGACAGGUGCUGCAUGGCUGUCGUCAGCUCGUGUUGUGAAAUGUUGGGUUAAGUCCCGCAACGAGCGCAACCCUUAUCCUUUGUUGCCAGCGGUUAGGCCGGGAACUCAAAGGAGACUGCCAGUGAUAAACUGGAGGAAGGUGGGGAUGACGUCAAGUCAUCGUGGCCCUUACGAGUAGGGCUACACACGUGCUACAAUGGCGCAUACAAAGAGAAGCGACCUCGCGAGAGCAAGCGGACCUCAUAAAGUGCGUCGUAGUCCGG